RNAcentral lists this long non-coding RNA (401 nucleotides) under Pan troglodytes (chimpanzee). Its description in RNAcentral is "long non-coding RNA NONPTRT000351". The record is from RNAcentral. Lineage: Eukaryota; Metazoa; Chordata; Mammalia; Primates; Hominidae.
GUUCAGGUCGCGGCUCCGCCCACGGCCGCCCCGGGGUCGGCUUCCUACACGUCUCUUUAAAGGGCAGCCUGAGCGGCCACCGGGACUCGGAAAUGCUACGUCUAUUGAUUCACAUUACUUGCUGGCAGUGUGUGAAGUCAACGAACAAGACUGAGUCUUUGCCCUUGAGACGCGUACACUCUACCCAGAGACAAGUUCUAAGCACAGGAAACAAGUAAUUUUAUAAGAACAUCACAGGGCAGUUAUUCUCCAGGUGAAUUCGGAUUAAAGAGGACACUUGAGCCGGUGAGAUCACAGAAAGCUUUUAUCACCCACCCCUUUAGAGGUGGUCGAGAUUAUUUACCCCUAUUAAAUUUCACGUGUGGUGGUGGAGUCGGUAUAAACAUCAAAUUGAACAUGUA